GAUGAACGCUGGCGGCGUGCUUAACACAUGCAAGUCGAACGGAAAGGCCAGUGCUUGCACUGGUACUCGAGUGGCGAACGGGUGAGUAACACGUGGGUGAUCUGCCCUGCACUUCGGGAUAAGCCUGGGAAACUGGGUCUAAUACCGGAUAGGACAAUGGUUUGGAUGCCGUUGUGGAAAGUUUUUUCGGUGUGGGAUGAGCUCGCGGCCUAUCAGCUUGUUGGUGGGGUAAUGGCUUACCAAGGCGUCGACGGGUAGCCGGCCUGAGAGGGUGUACGGCCACAUUGGGACUGAGAUACGGCCCAGACUCCUACGGGAGGCAGCAGUGGGGAAUAUUGCACAAUGGGCGCAAGCCUGAUGCAGCGACGCCGCGUGGGGGAUGACGGCCUUCGGGUUGUAAACUCCUUUCGCUAGGGACGAAGCGUAUUUGUGACGGUACCUGGAGAAGAAGCACCGGCUAACUACGUG
This 468-nucleotide ribosomal RNA is filed under the name uncultured bacterium. RNAcentral's name for it is "partial 16S ribosomal RNA". It matches the Rfam family "Bacterial small subunit ribosomal RNA", at positions 28 to 507 of the family's 1533-position model. The record is from RNAcentral.